Molecule: long non-coding RNA, 4416 nt
Filed under: Populus trichocarpa (black cottonwood)
Lineage: Eukaryota; Viridiplantae; Streptophyta; Magnoliopsida; Malpighiales; Salicaceae
Description: long non-coding RNA (PTRI_LNC003399)
Source: RNAcentral
CACUGCAAUCAAAACUGGCCUCUUUGAUUACGUGUGGGUUCAAUUCUAUAACAAUCCUCCAUGUCAAUACGUAAAUGAUGCUACCGGUCUCUUGAGUGCAUGGAACCAAUGGACCACAGUUCAAUCCAAUCAAAUAUUCCUGGGACUACCUGCUGCUCCCGAGGCAGCCCCUAGUGGUGGAUUCAUCCCUGCUGAUGUGCUCAUUUCUCAGGUCCUUCCAUCUAUCAAGGGUUCACCCAAGUAUGGAGGCGUGAUGCUCUGGAGCAAGCAGUAUGACAAUGGGUAUAGUGCAGCUAUAAAGGGCAGUGUCUAGAUUUUUUUCAGCCCUGCUCUUCCCCAUGCUGUGUGCUCCUGAUUCCUGAAUAAAUUUGAUAUAUGUAUAUAUUUAUGCCACAGCAUGUUGAUCUAAAGAGUGUACGCGGCGAUCAAAAUAUUAUGUUUACUUAAAUUUCAAGCUAAAUAAAACGAAAUUAUAGUUCCCUGAUAAGGAAAAUAUAAUCAAUUUACCAGUGAAUUCCUUAUAGUGUUUUUUUUUCUUUUUCAUCAAGCUCAACAAAAGUCUUGUGGUUGAGGAGUAACUUUAUGCCUUCUAAGAGUCUUCAAAACUCAACUGGGGUGUCUAAAUUUUUCCACUCGAUCCAUGAAUGUGAAUCCCUUGAUAUAUUAAUUUGCUGACAUUUUCAAAGUUAAAAUGUGAAAGAAAGAAAAGUAGUCAAACAAAUGAAUUUUGAAUCAACGAGACUAAGGCUAACAGAAAUAAAACCCGUUUUAAUGGAGGAUGAGCAAGAAAUGGGAAUGUAAUAAUCAAUUAUUUAGAUUAAAACUUACCGUUUUAUUUAAAUUAAACAGCGGGUUAUUUCCUUUUAAACCCACAAUUUAAUAUCUUAAAAAUACUAGAUACUAAAAUCUAGCAAUAAAUUAAUUAUUUGCUUUAAUCAAACUAAGAACUAUUCUAAAAUCUAAAUAACGUGUAUUAUUCUGUGUCUGUACCAUUUCCUAAUGCCCAAAUGUUGAAGGGGCUUCUUUUAUUGAUAUGGGAACAUUGAAUUUGGGAUCUGCUUUCAAAUUAUUCAUAUGGUUCAUAGCAUAUCAAUUUAGUGAACGUAACUGCUCUGUGUUCUGGAAUUCCCUUCCCAUGAAGCUCUCUAUGAAGUAUUGUUUUAUGUUGCCAUUGAAACAGUAAUGCAGAUGAAUAUUCAUUUGAAAUCUAUUCUCUCCCCAUACUAUGUAAACAUAUUAUUUUGAGUUCGCAUGUGCGCUUUUCAUCAUUGAUGGAGAAAGAAGGAUAAGCAUAGCUAAAUUAUAUGUUUGAAUGCACACGUUUUCAGGUACCGUCAGAGUCUCGGCGGUGUUGUUCACAAAAUCUACAAAAAAAAGUGGACUCGUUGUUGUUCUCCGAGGAAGAUGAAUUGCCUAAUUAUUCUAUCCUCAACAGUGAGGACAGUAAUCAAACCCGGAGAGAAGAAAUAGAACGAGAUGAAAUGGAUGAUGAUAAUAGAAUCAUUGACUCAGUUUCAGCAGAAGAUGAGUCCCUUAGACAGGUGGAAAAUGAGCGUCAAAGCCCCCAAGGGAUGAAUCAGGAGGAGCAUGCUCGAAAAUUCGUUGAUGUUCAAACCAGGAGACAGAGGGCAAGAAGAUUUGCAUCUUUUGCUAGCUGGGUUCCAAAUUUGCAGAGAGUUUGGGCACCGAAGCAGCCAGAGGCAAUGAAACCAGAUCCUCUUCGUAAUUUGACAAUGAGUACAGUGCAGCUACAAAGGGCAGUGUCUCCGUCUUGCAGCCUUGCUCUUCAUGCUAUCAUCUUAUGUUAUUCUGAGUGUAGCAUUCACUUGUUGGCAAUAAAAAACAUGACUGUAUGCUUGAACUUGAUCCCACACUAAAUGAAACAAAAUUAUAUUUCCUGAUGAGAAAAUUAAUCUAGAUUGAUUUGGAUUUUUUUUUAAUUUGAUUAUUACUAGUUUAGUAGAUGUAUUAUUGAAAGAAAAUAAAUUCUGGAACAGGGAAAUUUUUUUAUGAUUUUAACACAAGAUUGCUUAGCUAAACUACAGUACGGGAAAAAGAGUGAGUUUCUUAGGAUAUAUUAUUAUUAACUCCAAGGCAUUGGUCGAGAGGUGCACUUUUUGUGUGGAUAAUAGUAUGACAAGGUUUUCACGUUAUCAGCUCUUGCGAGGUAGCCUGCGAGAGGUUUUUCCUCGUUAAUUUUUUUUAGCGUGAAUUAUAGUUGUGUUCAAAAUAUGACCGGAUUACGGCAUUACAUGGGAGAGUGUUAAAAGAUUAAAAUGUUUUUUAUUUUAGAAAGUAUAAAAAUAAUAUUUUUUUAAAUUUAUUUUUGAUAUAGCAUAUCAAAAUAAUUAAAAAAACAAUUAAAAAACUAAUUUUAAACUAAAACAAAUUCAAAUUUAAAAAAAAUAGUGUUUUGGCUGCAAAUCACAAAGUUAUUGGGUUAAUAAAUCAUUUUCUAUAGAUCAUUUUAGAUAAAAAAUUUAGAGUUGACUCGGCUAAGUCUCACUUGGUUUCUGAUUGGGUCAAGUAGAUUACCGAUUGACCUGUCAAGUCACUCAAAUUUAAUCAUAUUAAUGCCUGAAAUAGUUUAAAAAAAACUUAGUUAAAAUCCCAGACGAGUUUAGCCGGGUCAACUAGAUCACGAAUUGACAAUCAAGUUACUGUAUUUUACUGUAUCAUUGUCUAAAACAGUGCAAACAAAACUAUUCUAUCACUGUAUAAAACAGUUCAAACAAAACUAUUCUAAGUUAAAUUUCAAGUUAGUAAGUUACCCGGUCAACUGUCGCACAGGGUUUAGAUUGUGUUUGGAAGUGAAGUAAUGGUUGUUUUUUAAAGUAUUUUCCGCUAAAAAAUACAUGAAAAUAAUAUUUUUAAAAUACAAAAUUAUUUUUAACAUCAAAAUUUCAAAACAAUCUAAAAAUACUAAAAGAAUUAUUUUUAAACAAAAAAACAAAAAAAAAAACAUAAAACACGGUUUCAAUUGGAAAAACAAACAGCAACUUAAUAACUAAGAAAUUCAUCGCCUGCUUUUGAUGGAAUCGUCAAAGUGGAAACCAAUUUCAGACUGCCAGAAAAACAGUCCCUAAUUCCCCUUUGAUUCCAGGAAACUCACUGAGGGACUUAAAUGGUAUCUGCCAAACCGUCCUGGUCCUACUAUUUGUAAAUAAAGAAGACCAGUAUAAUCUUUAAUAACCAUGGUACUUUAUUCUUGUCUACAUUAUUUUUAUGCAGAAUUCUUCUAUACUUUCAAUGAGAACGGCACCAAUUUCUUGCCCACAAACCACGGUAAUCAGACUUUUCUACUAAGACACCUAGACACGCAUGGUCCUCAGAAGCUAUAAAUAUGUUCCGUCUCCACAUUGUUGAAACACAGAACAAGCUUGAGAUCCAAAAUGGCUUGCCAAGCAAAAGCUAUCACCCUUCUUCUAUCCAUCUUAGCUGUCUCCUUAUGCAAACCCUCAGAUGGUGCAGGCAUCGCCAUCUAUUGGGGUCAAAAUGGCAAUGAAGGCAGCUUAGCUGAUACUUGUAACACAGGAAACUAUCAAUUUGUGAACGUAGCUUUCCUAUCUAGUUUCGGCAAUGGCCAAUCUCCAGUGCUGAACCUAGCAGGCCAUUGUGACCCCAGCGCCGGUACUUGCACCGGCAUAAGCAAUGACAUUACAUCUUGUCAAAAUCAAGGAAUCAAGGUGCUGCUUUCCAUUGGAGGUGGCGCAGGCAGCUACUCCCUUUCAUCGGCCGACGAUGCAGGGCAAGUUGCAAACUAUAUCUGGAAUAACUUCCUUGGUGGUCAGUCCAGCUCACGCCCGCUAGGCGAUGCCAUCCUAGAUGGGGUUGAUUUUGACAUCGAGUCAGGUUCAGGCCAGUUCUGGGAUGAUCUUGCUAGGGCACUUAAUGGCUUUAGCCAACAAAGGAAGGUAUACUUAGCUGCAGCUCCACAAUGCAUCUUCCCUGAUGCUAAUCUAGACACUGCAAUCAAAACUGGCCUCUUUGAUUACGUGUGGGUUCAAUUCUAUAACAAUCCUCCAUGUCAAUACGUAAAUGAUGCUACCGGUCUCUUGAGUGCAUGGAACCAAUGGACCACAGUUCAAUCCAAUCAAAUAUUCCUGGGACUACCUGCUGCUCCCGAGGCAGCCCCUAGUGGUGGAUUCAUCCCUGCUGAUGUGCUCAUUUCUCAGGUCCUUCCAUCUAUCAAGGGUUCACCCAAGUAUGGAGGCGUGAUGCUCUGGAGCAAGCAGUAUGACAAUGGGUAUAGUGCAGCUAUAAAGGGCAGUGUCUAGAUUUUUUUCAGCCCUGCUCUUCCCCAUGCUGUGUGCUCCUGAUUCCUGAAUAAAUUUGAUAUAUGUAUAUAUUUAUGCCACAGCAUGUUGAUCUAAAGAGUGUACGCGGCGAUCAAAAUAUUAUGUUUACUUAAAUUUC